UAGCUGCUGCUGUGAGGAGAACACGUGUCAGACUGAAGGUUGAACCUCAGCGAGUUUCUCCUGUUGAGUUAAACCUUGUUGUGGAGAUGGAACAUCGGCUCUGGAUGAUUCUUGCUGCUCUGGUCUUUAAGUGUGAUGGAGACGACAGAGUGAUGCAGCCGACCGGAGGCGUCACUGCUGCUGAAGGAGAGACUCUCACACUGGGUUGUACUUUUCAGACCAAUGAUCCAACUCCAACUCUGCUCUGGUACAAACAACAAGUCAACGAUUUCCCAAAGCUUCUCCUGCGACGCUUCUCAACACAAGCAGAUAAUCCAGCAGAAAGACAGAGGGACAGAAGAACGGAUGCUGCUGUCAACCAGACCUCAUUUCCUCUGAAGAUCCAGAAGCUGCAGCUGUCAGACUCUGCUGUGUACUACUGUGCUCUGCAGCCCACAGCGACAGGAAACUACACAACUCUGUACAAAAACCUGUGGAGCAAAGACAAUACUCCUCAUCAUCCACCAGAGGGAGUCAGACAACACCAGUUGUGAUAAUGAGGUAUUUUU
Hippoglossus stenolepis (Pacific halibut) is the source of this 548-nucleotide non-coding RNA. NCBI's taxonomy places the organism in Eukaryota, Metazoa, Chordata, Actinopteri, Pleuronectiformes, Pleuronectidae. The record is from the annotation of a RefSeq genome assembly.